Molecule: long non-coding RNA, 6467 nt
Filed under: Homo sapiens (human)
Lineage: Eukaryota; Metazoa; Chordata; Mammalia; Primates; Hominidae
Description: HSALNT0159431
Source: RNAcentral
GACAUUUAAAUGAUAAUUUUAAAAAUUUCAAAUUCAGUGUUUAUUUUUUCAGUGCAUAGAAUUAUAGUAAGUAUGUAAAUAUAUGUGACCUUUUAUCCUGAGAACUUUUAAGAACUUUUAUCCUAAUCACUUUUUAGUUUUUUGUAGAUGAUUUUAGAUUUUUCUACCUAGAAAAAUCAUAUCAUCUGUGAAUAAAGACAGUUUUAUUUCAUUCUUCCCAGAAUCAUGUCCUUUUUAUGCCCUUUUAAUCAUGUCUUGUUGCAAUGGUUAGGACUUCCAAUAUGAUAUUGAAUAGGAGCUAUAAAAGAGAAUAUCUUGUAUUUGUUCUCAUGGUAUGGGAAGAACAUUUAAUUUUUCACCAUUAAAAUUGAUGUUAGCUGAUGUUUAUUCUUAUUCUCUCUCUCUCCCCAACUUUAAUUUUUGUAAAUGUUUCUUAUCAGGCUAACUAAUUUCAUUCUUAAGUUACCGAGGUUUUUUUUUUUUUAAAGGAUGUGGAUUUUAUCAAAUACUUUUCCUGUAAUUAUUGAGAUAGUCAUAUAGAUUUUCUCUUUCAUCUGUUAAAAUGAUGAAUACAUUGAUUUUCAAAUUUUGAGGACUACUUUAAUUUAGUUCCUGUAUUCGAGGUGUCCUGGAUCUUACAGUAAGUAUAAGUUUGAGUAAGUUACAGUAAGUGUAAGUGUUAAGCAUUCAGGAUCAGCCAAUGGUUAGAGCUUCUCACGGAAAACUUCCCUGUGUUCUAUGGAGCUAUGUCAGACACAGAUCUUUUUGUUUUCCUGAUGAAGAUAGAUUUUGUUUCCCCCCAAGCCCACCUUUUUUACUGAAAGUAAAAUCACUUUCAGGGUAUGCAACUUUACGCAGAGUUCUCAAGUUCAGGUACCUGUCAGGAGUUGGCACAAGUGUCAUUACACACUGAUGUCUGAUUUUAUUUUAUUUUCCAGGCAUUUGCUCCUAGAGCAUUAUUGGUUUCCAAGAUCUUUUAUCAUUCUGAUUUAAUAAUCUAGGUUUAUCUUUUUUAAAUUCCUGGGAUUUUUUUUCUUAGAUUAUUGAAAAUGUUAUGAUGCAAUUUAAGUAUGUUUCUCAGACUUUGGCAUUUUGGUGUUUUUCAGUUGGAUAUCUUUUCAGAAGAUUUAAACUACUGACUGUCAAGAGUGAUUGCCCUGUGUCUGCCUUGGAUAUUCUGAAGAUCCCAGUCAAUUGCCUCUGCCAAGAAUGUAACUUUUCUUUUUUCGCUAGAGAAUUCUUUGGCAUAAGAAACCCAAAGCGUCCAGGUAGCUAUUAUAGCUGAAAGCUCAAUGAGAUUCUUGCUGUGACUCCUAUAGGAAGUAUCGGCCUCUUUUUGGGAACCAAGACUUGUAAACCUGCAGAGGCCAGAGUUGUAAUAGACAAGAAGCCCAAAUUCUUAAGUGGGAUACUGGAAGUAAUGAUGAGCAGGACCACUCCUUCCACCCUUUGCUCCUGUGUUUUCUACCUGUUGGAGACCUGGAAUCAUUCAAUAAUCACUGAUUGAUAUGGUUUGGCUGUGCCCCACCCAAAAUCAUCUUGAAUUGUGAGCCCCGUAAUCCUCAUAAUCCCCAUGUCAAGGGCGGGACCAGGUGAAGGAAAUUAGAUCAUGGGGAUGCUUUCCCCCAUGCUGUUCUCAUGAUAGUGAGUCUCAUGAGAUCUGAUGGUUUUAUAAGCAUCUGGAAUUUCCCCUGCUUGCUCUCACUCUGUCCUGCUGCCCUAUGAAGAAGAUACCUGCUUCUCCUUUGCCUCCUGCCAUAAUUGUAAGUUUCCUGAGGCAUCCCCAGCAAUGCAUAAUUGUGAGUCAAUUAAACCUCUUUCCUUUGUAAAUUAUCCAGUCUUGGGUAUUUCUUCAUAGUAGUAUGAGAACAGACUAAUAUAUAGGGUAUAUGUUCCACCCUAGAGAAUGGUGCCUCCCUUGGUAGAUACCUCUGAGUUGAUACCUUAGCUAUGUUCUCAACAGACCAUUUCAUUACUCUAUUAAGACAGUAGUAGCUUCUGGGUGAUGUGGAAUAUGAUAUUACCAGGGAAUUUGUGGUCAGGUACAGACUUAUGAACCUCUUUUGUGUAAAGUGGGCCGCUUAGUCUAGUUCAAAGACUUGUGGGGGCCUGUGCCGCUGGGCUCAUAGAUAGCUUCCAUCUCUGCCACCAGGUAACUCGGUUCACAUGCUCACUUUGCCAGCAUCAGCAUGGCCAAGGGCAGAUGCUCUCUGACAUUCACUGGCCACAUUAUUUUUUUGUACUUGGCUUCUUCAUGCACCUUACAUGCUAGACGCUUUCUGGCAGGCGAUACCAUGCAGUCAAAGAUCUCUACAUUUCAUGCCCACUCCUGCAGGCCAAUCCACAGACCUCUUCCCAGAACUCCUUGUCUCUAAUCUAAUCUUUUUCCUUCCAGACUCUAGACCAUCUGGCCAACUCAUUUGCCACUGACUAUAAAUCUGUAUAUAUUCUUAUCUCAGAUUUUGCUCACUAAAUGAAUGAUCAGACUCACUGCUUGAGGCUUUGCCCAUUGGGAGGACUUCCUGGACUACAGCAUUUCUUUCUAAGCCAACCCUGAAUAGGGCAGCAGAGAAGGUGCUGUCCAUUGUUGGUUUGCACCCAUAUACUGAGCCAACCCAUUAGCUUUCUUUCCUCCUCCUUCCUAUCAGUUACUCAUAAAAGUUCCCGUAAUUGCACUAGGCUGCUGGUAAGUUACAUACAUCCCUUGACUUGCUGUAAUGGGACUGUCUUCUCCAGAAUAUAAGCUCCUAUAAGAGAGAUUUGUUUGGUUCACUGAUAUAUCCCCAAUUAUUAUGCAGCACCUGGCUCAAUAAAUAUUGGUUGAAAGGAUAACUGUUCUGAAUGGAAUAUUUUGUUCCCUUUUACUCCUCAGGAGCUUUCACUACCUGCUUCUAACCUGGAAACAACUUACUACUUAGUAUUUCUAUUUCCUUUGAUGUUCAUGUAGAUUUUUUAUAUGGAGUUCCACCUGUGUCUUUUGGUUUUCUCUCAUUAUACUUUAUUGUUGGUAUUUGGAAGGAGAGUGCACACAGCAGAAAAUUACUUCACAAUUUUUAUCAGAAGUUACUUUAUAACUUCUUUGGGGUGUUUUUUAUUUGUUAUUUUUCUUCCUUGGAAAGAUUAUUGUAUGAUAUAUUGGGAUUUGUAUCACCUUUUCCAUGAUUAUUUAAAUAUACUCAUUUUUUUUGCUCUUUUCAUCAUUUUCUGCUGACUUUUGGAAGGAAUGCUAACACUUAUCUAAUACACAGCUCUGUUUCAGUAGUAUUCAAUUUGCUGUUUCAUGACUUUGUUGAUCUUUUUGCUGUUUCAUGACUUUGAUCUUUUUAAAUACAGAAAUGGUGUAUUUAUGUCCUCCUGUCUUUACUGAUUUUAGUUUGUUCAUUUAUGAUUGUCUGGACUAGUUUCCUAAUUAUUUUCAUUGUAAAAUUAAUAUGUGCCUCACAUAUUUUCCAGGUGCAUAAAUGAAUUAUAUUAUUUGAAAUGCACAAUAAUCCUAUUUGGUAAAUAUUAACACCCCAAUUUACAAGUUGAAAAAUUGAGACAGGACAGUUUUAGUGAUUUACUGAUGAUCAUAAGUAGCAGAGCUGAGCUUUAAACUUGUUAAAGCACACAGAGUCGUAACCACUACUCUACAUUGCCUGGAAGUAAGUAGUCACUUCUUUUGAUUUUCUUGAGAAAAUAGAUUAGAAAAUGGCUCAGUUGUUCUGUUUCCUGCAGCAAGGAUUUGGUAGAAGACUUUCAUGUUGAUUCCUCUGUAUGCUCCCUUGUCUUUGGACUUCAACACCUUUUCACAUAUCUAUGACCUGCCCCCUCCAAAGUUAUAUCCAUGGCUAGUGUUGCAAGCCAGUUUGGUUUUUCUCUCGGCUAUUGUGACCCCUGUUCAAAUACUCCAGACCUUGUAGACUGGGGAAGAAGGAAUCUGUGGGUUUAUUCUGGUCUUGUGUCAUACUUCAGACAUCCGGCAACUUGUGGAGAAAAGUGGGAAAUAAGAAUGGAAGAGUUGCAACCAAGAGGUCACCUUCUCUGCUCAAGGGUCUCUUUUCCACAUUUGACAUGGCAGCUGUAGUCUUUACCCAGCCCAACUGGUGGGUAAAGACUUUACAGGGCCCCUCUAACUGUGCAAUAGGGACUCCUAUUGCAAAUGAAAAUUGAGUAAGCAUCACUUUGGGUUUCCAGUUAGAUAUGUACUGUGCUGCCCGGCAUAUCUCCCAGGCAUAUCUCCCAGGUCUGAUGAGACUGAGAGGAAGUUCCCAAUUGACCCACAGCCUACACUUAUUUAAGAUUUUGCCUGUCUAAUUAGGGAAGGCUGGUGGAGUUUCACCACAGAGCCUCUGAGGCAAACCAUGACUUUUCAUGCAGGCAGUACAUCAUCAGGAUAGUCCUCAUCUUUGAUUCAGUUUCAUUUGCAGAAAUAUCCAAAAGUUUCAGGUGUGAAUCUAGAGUAUCUACUAUCCAGCAAAUAAUAUAGUUUGUCCUCUUUUUUUUUUUUAAUUCCGCUUUAAUAGGAAUCAAGAAAAGUUGUCUAGAAGAGUUAGAUACAUUUACUCAAAUUCGCUCUUUUACUCAGAAUUCUAAGUUACCAUUAGGUGAAAAUUACACUAUAACUUUUGAAAUUUUCCAGAUGCGGUGUUCUCAAGUUUCCAGUUAAUAGUUGCAUCCAUGUGAUGAGAGAGGACUUUGAGUUUUGGCAAGGCCCUUGCAAACACUGUUCAUAGAACUCCUGUAAAUUCAACAGAAGGCAUGAUUAGGAGGGUUUACUCCUGGCAGAUGUGGGGUCUUAGCAGAAGCACAGAAGGAAGAAGCUAGCUUCAACUGUCUGAAACUGGCUGUGUUGGAAAGGCUGUGCUGAGAUGAGCAAUCUAUUUAGAAUGACUGCUGCUCAUCUUUUUAACAAGAUAAUCAUCUGACAGCAACAUGGAAAAGCAGAUGUAGCAUUUUAAGGGAUAUACGGCUUUUUGAACUCCACAUGCUUUCAAACUCUGAUAUUAUUUCCAAUGAACCCUAAAGUCAAAGGAAUAAUCACUUUGAAAUUCUUGCACAAUGGGAAGCCCUGAAGGAAGCUGAACAUCUGAUUUUCACUAAAGGAGAAUCCUGAAAGCAAAGCAUCCUAUAAAUUGGAAUUUUUGCUUCCUCUGUUGUCUUCCAUAGGGUCUCUUGCCGCUUUGCUAAAUAUCAAAGAUAUUUAUGCUUAAACAAAUGUUGUCUCCCUCUCACUGCAUUCCCUCCUUCUGGCAGAGAAGUCAUCACACUGAAUCGGUGGCUCUUUCCCAUGGCAACAGACUGUGAUGUCAGAAAUGUGGUGCCAAGCAAUUAGAUUUUGUAGGUGCCACAGUUGGAAACAUGAAACUCCAAGGAUGAUGGUGAGACAGAGCAGUUGUUGUAGAAGAAAAAACUCAGGAAGGACUGAGUGUCUAAUGUGUUCUCUCAAAGGCCUGUUGCUGAAGGAGGGUGGCAGCAAAUGAAGUCGGAGAGGGGAAGAGGGAUACAGUGUUCAAGACAAGAUUUCAAAGGAGAAGCAAGUUGAUGAUGGAGAGUUGCAAAAGGCCACGUCCAGAUGGCUGGCACUCUGCCACGUGCCGUGGCUUUGAUGCUUUACAGGUGUUCUCUAAGGCGUCGAAGGCGGAAGCUCCAGGGACCUGCUGUCUGUCAUUGAAACAGCCAGAGGACUCAGGACCCAGAGAAAGAGCAAACUCCCUCUCCUUUCAUUCCCUUCCGCUCUUGUAGGAAUGUGGGAACUUUCACAGUUUUGCUGUUUUCAAGAAAACGGCACCUUGACAACAUGACCUUUGAGACCUACAAGCUGAGGGAGCUGUAGGGAGAAGGAUGAUCUGAGAUGGGCAACAAAAACCUUCCAAGAGGAGGCAAUGGGUGAGGACCCUUCAUGUUGCCAAUAGGAGCGAUCUGGGAAUAUUUUGAAAUGGACUUUUAAAAAAGCUGAGUCUGUUUUUUGGAGGUUCUUUGUCAAAUACACAAGAGAAUGAAACCCAUACCUGUGAAAAAUCAUAGAUGAAGUUUUAAAAUACACAUUUCAGUGAUACAGUAUGGAUAAAUUUGGACUGCAUAUGGCUUCUUAUGUAAAAGAAAAUUUCUUCUCCUUUUAGUAACACAUUGUCGGCUGCCUGUGCUUUGCACCUUCUGCCAUAAGCUCCUUAAAACAAGCUGCUGCAAUUCAAGAACUAGCCCUAGUAAUUAAGAUCAAAUGAGCCAGAUGAAGAAAAUGAGCUGGGUGAAACACAUGCCAGUGGAACCCAGCCUUUUCAUAUUUAAAAAGAGAGCCAGAAAAGAAAGAAAAACAGCUAUUUGUCGAUGGACUAUGUGGAGGAUUUAGAUGCAGUCUCUACUCAGGAUUAUUGUUAACAUUUAUACGUAUAUUUUAAAUGAUUCUGGGCUUGAUUGAUUAGCUCUUGUGAAAUACAGUGGAUGUGGGCCGGGCAUGGUGGCUCACGCCUGUAAUCCCAGCACUUUGG